Molecule: small nucleolar RNA, 132 nt
Filed under: Procavia capensis (Cape rock hyrax)
Lineage: Eukaryota; Metazoa; Chordata; Mammalia; Hyracoidea; Procaviidae
Source: RNAcentral
UUGCAAACUCGAUCACUAGCUCUGCAUGAUGUUGCAGAAGCAAGGGGAACCAGGUUUGCUAAAGUAAUUGUGGUGAUAGAAAUGAUAAGCCCCAGGAGCUACUGGGGUGGACUUACCUAUCCUAAUACAUUG